Non-coding RNA from Octopus bimaculoides (California two-spot octopus), 73 nucleotides. The record is from Rfam. NCBI's taxonomy places the organism in Eukaryota, Metazoa, Mollusca, Cephalopoda, Octopoda, Octopodidae.
AGAUUAUUAGGUUAUAUUGGAUAAUUAUGGGUUUUGAAAACCUAUUAUAAGUGUUCGAUUCACUUGUAACCUU